UUUCCGUAGGUGAACCUGCGGAAGGAUCAUUGUCGAACCCUGCAUAGCAGAACGACCCGCGAACAUGUACUAACAACCGGGCGUCGUGGGGAUGGGGCACUUGUCCUGUCCCUGUGGCGCCUCGUCGGUGUGCGAGUCUGGUGGCCGCUUCCGGGGCCUCGAGCACGUCGCAUCGGCACAACAACAAACCCCGGCACAAAUGUGCCAAGGAAAACUAAACUUAAGAAGGGAUCGUAACACGACGCCCCGUUCGCGGGGUGCUCGUGUGGCGUGGCCUCUUUGUAAUCACAAACGACUCUCGGCAACGGAUAUCUCGGCUCACGCAUCGAUGAAGAACGUAGCAAAAUGCGAUACUUGGUGUGAAUUGCAGAAUCCCGUGAACCAUCGAGUUUUUGAACGCAAGUUGCGCCCGAAGCCUUUCGGCCGAGGGCACGUCUGCCUGGGCGUCACGCAUCGCGUCGCCCCCCACCACCCAUCCCAUACGGUGAUGCAUGGUACGGGGGCGGAGACUGGCCUCCCGUUCCCACGGUGCGGUUGGCCAAAAUCGGAGUCCCCUUCGGUGGACGCACGACUAGUGGUGGUUGACAAAACCCUCGUCUCGUGUCGUGUGUCGUCAGCCGCGAGGGAAGACCUCUUCAAAGACCCCAACGCGUCGUCUCGCGACGAUGCUUCGACCGCGACCCCAGGUCAGGCGGGACUACCC
RNAcentral lists this ribosomal RNA (703 nucleotides) under Osteospermum subulatum. Its description in RNAcentral is "eukaryotic LSU rRNA". The stretch from base 294 to 449 matches the Rfam family "5.8S ribosomal RNA". Lineage: Eukaryota; Viridiplantae; Streptophyta; Magnoliopsida; Asterales; Asteraceae. The record is from RNAcentral.